RNAcentral lists this small nucleolar RNA (111 nucleotides) under Gambusia affinis (western mosquitofish). RNAcentral describes it as "Small nucleolar RNA U109 (ENSGAFG00000001185.1)". It matches the Rfam family "Small nucleolar RNA U109". Lineage: Eukaryota; Metazoa; Chordata; Actinopteri; Cyprinodontiformes; Poeciliidae. The record is from RNAcentral.
AUGAAUGUGGAGAGUACGAGUGUAUAGCAUGCUAGAUGAACUUUUGGGAAUUAACAGGGCCACCAGUCUUUCAAGUCCAGGCUGAGUCGGUAGUAUAAUAUUCCCACAGUC